AGAGUUUGAUCCUGGCUCAGAUUGAACGCUGGCGGCAUGCCUUACACAUGCAAGUCGAACGGUAGAGGGGCAACCCUUGAGAGGGGCGAACGGGUGAGUAAUAUAUCGGAACGUGCCCAGUCGUGGGGGAUAACGCAGCGAAAGCUGCGCUAAUACCGCAUACGAUCUAUGGAUGAAAGCGGGGGAUCGCAAGACCUCGCGCGAUUGGAGCGGCCGAUAUCAGAUUAGGUAGUUGGUGGGGUAAAAGCCCACCAAGCCGACGAUCUGUAGCUGGUCUGAGAGGACGACCAGCCACACUGGGACUGAGACACGGCCCAGACUCCUACGGGAGGCAGCAGUGGGGAAUUUUGGACAAUGGGCGCAAGCCUGAUCCAGCAAUGCCGCGUGCAGGACGAAGGCCUUCGGGUUGUAAACUGCUUUUGUACGGAGCGAAACGGUCUGGGUUAAUACCCUGGGCUAAUGACGGUACCGUAAGAAUAAGCACCGGCUAACUACGUGCCAGCCGCCGCGGUAAUUC
Molecule: ribosomal RNA, 517 nt
Filed under: uncultured Comamonadaceae bacterium
Lineage: Bacteria; Pseudomonadati; Pseudomonadota; Betaproteobacteria; Burkholderiales; Comamonadaceae
Description: bacterial SSU rRNA
Rfam family: Bacterial small subunit ribosomal RNA
Source: RNAcentral